CCUACGGGAGGCAGCAGUGAGGAAUAUUGGUCAAUGGGCGCGAGCCUGAACCAGCCAAGUCGCGUGAGGGAAGACGGUCCUAUGGAUUGUAAACCUCUUUUGUCGGGGAGCAAAAGACGCCACGCGUGGCGUUCCGUGAGUACCCGAAGAAAAAGCAUCGGCUAACUCCGUGCCAGCAGCCGCGGUAAUACGGAGGAUGCGAGCGUUAUCCGGAUUUAUUGGGUUUAAAGGGUGCGCAGGCGGAAGAUCAAGUCAGCGGUAAAAUUGAGAGGCUCAACCUCUUCGAGCCGUUGAAACUGGUUUUCUUGAGUGAGUGAGAAGUAGGCGGAAUGCGUGGUGUAGCGGUGAAAUGCAUAGAUAUCACGCAGAACUCCGAUUGCGAAGGCAGCAUACCGGCGCUCAACUGACGCUCAUGCACGAAAGUGUGGGUAUCGAACAGGAUUAGAUACCCUAGUAGUC
RNAcentral lists this ribosomal RNA (459 nucleotides) under uncultured bacterium. RNAcentral describes it as "partial 16S ribosomal RNA". It matches the Rfam family "Bacterial small subunit ribosomal RNA", at positions 338 to 795 of the family's 1533-position model. The record is from RNAcentral.